AUCCUCUCAGGGUUGCACCUGGAGAGUUUCCAGUACUCUACCAGUCUCGACUACAGGAGGGAGAGUCAAGCAGAUGCAUACCCAUUCCAUUCCUAGCUUGGCCAGUGGCUAGCGAGUGGAAGACAAUCUGCUACAAGU
Molecule: small nucleolar RNA, 138 nt
Filed under: Ornithorhynchus anatinus (platypus)
Lineage: Eukaryota; Metazoa; Chordata; Mammalia; Monotremata; Ornithorhynchidae
Source: RNAcentral